UAUGAUGCUUUGACUCUACGUCUUAUUUAAAAAAAAUUGUAAUUAAAAUUUUUAUUGUUACUAUAUGGUAAAAUAUGAAUAGUAUUUUAUGCGUGACUAAUUUUUUUAUGUUUUUAUAUAAUUUUUUUAAAUAAGACGAAUGGUCAAACAUUGGACACG
This 159-nucleotide microRNA precursor is filed under the name Oryza brachyantha (malo sina). Its description in RNAcentral is "MIR812 microRNA precursor family". It matches the Rfam family "MIR812 microRNA precursor family", at positions 27 to 183 of the family's 205-position model. Lineage: Eukaryota; Viridiplantae; Streptophyta; Magnoliopsida; Poales; Poaceae. The record is from Rfam by way of RNAcentral.